Long non-coding RNA from Musa acuminata AAA Group (dessert banana), 482 nucleotides. RefSeq lists it as uncharacterized. The transcript is spliced from 2 exons. The record is from RefSeq and is a predicted model, not a curated record. Lineage: Eukaryota; Viridiplantae; Streptophyta; Magnoliopsida; Zingiberales; Musaceae.
GCGUGCGCGUAAGAUUCAUAGGAUAGAGCUCGUCUGGUUCGCCCGCCCCCAAAUCGGGAAACGAGGGGGAGAACAAGAUAUCCGAUAAUUGAAGAGGCCAAUUUCUUCCAAAACCCUAGAAUUCGUCUUCCCCAGUCCUAAAUUUGAGAUCAAAUAUUCAUGACACUCGGUCCAUUUCGUUCUCGGAUCAAGUUCCUCUCUCGCAGUCGGCCGCGGUGAACCCUAGCCCGCCACUCGCUCGCUCUUGGGCGCGGUCUUGGAAGACGUUCUGGUGUCAGGCCAAGCAAGUGAUUGAAGAAUCUAUUUAAUCAGCAUGGUUUUUUCCUAUUAGUCACCGUUUUGAUGCUUAAAGAGUAUAUCUGUGCAAGUUAUGCAGAGUUAUAUGUCCUUGAAGUUAUAUAUUGUGUUGUGUGGGGUUAUUUUUGUAAACAAUUACUAUCUACUCUAUUAUCAAAGGUCUUGUUGCUGGGGUAGAUCAUUCA